RNA transcript from Hemicordylus capensis (graceful crag lizard), 4072 nucleotides. It is a transcript of the gene named protein mono-ADP-ribosyltransferase TIPARP-like, with no coding region annotated. The transcript has 7 exons. The record is from RefSeq and is a predicted model, not a curated record. NCBI's taxonomy places the organism in Eukaryota, Metazoa, Chordata, Lepidosauria, Squamata, Cordylidae.
UUACAGUAGUAUGGUUAAAUCCUUUGUUUAGGCAAUAGGCCCAAGUGUUUGGUAAGAACUAUUUAUGGUAGUCACUCUUUGCCUGGGCAGGGGAUGGGUCAGCAUGUUUCAUCCAGCUUCAUAAAACACAAAUCUCAUACCAGUUCAUCUCCUAACCUGAUCCACUGGGGUUUGCAUGCUACUAAGCGAGAGACCUCAACUUCCUCUACAGUCUCUCCUUCUUCAGCAGGUGGCAAUGGUGUUCCCACCAGCCCAUCUCCUGUGCCUGCAAAGCGGAACUGUUGUUCAGCAGUAGACAUCUCCCCAGACCACAUGGCCCUGACAGAGCGCUGGAUUGAUAAGGAAGGGUUCAAAUUCCAUGUACACCAAAAAAAUGGUGUCAGAAUCUGUGACAACUUCCUUUUGGGAAACUGCCCCCAAGGAGAGAGUUGUCCUCUCCACCACACUCGCUACCCAUAUCACUGGCAGCUAAAGCAGAAAGAAAGUCGAGUAUGGCAAAGUGUGAGUGACUUGGCACAGCAGCACCUGGAGAAGCUCUACACUGAUAUUACCAGAGUGCACACUACCCUGGUAGAUAAGCAAGGGAUCUCUGGAAUUCUCAACUGUGAUCUCAUGCGACUUAAAUCUUUUGCACCCUACGAUAGCAUACGGCGGCUUUCCAAUACCAGCAGUUCACAAAUAAACCCUCAUUUCCCCACAAAGUGGACAUGGUACUGGAAGGAUGACUACAAUUGGAAAGAAUAUGAUGAGCCUGUCCCUCCUGAUUUCCUAGCUGUCUUUGAGAAAAGCCUGCCCAGUGACAAUGCAGAGAUCCAUCGUGAGCUGUCUGCUAUGGAUUUGAAGCAGAAGAGUCAAAAAAUAAGUCACAGUUGCCCUAUCCAGCACCGUCCUGUUUACCGCUCCCUCCUAUCUAUGGCGCCCUUCUUGCAGUAAGCAGCAACCCAAGACAAUUAGGAAAAAGCACAGUGAAGAACUUCAGCUGUCAACUUCUGGCAUCCCUGGGGAAGAUCCCACAGAUGAGUAUUGUGGCCCUUACCCUGCAACAUCAGUCUUUCAGUUGGUUGGCCCCACUGACAAUGGAUUUCUACAGCUUGAAAUGGAACCAUGGGAAUCUGCUUAUCAUUCCACAUAUACUCUUUUCCAUGACUCCUUCUCAGAGAAUGAGGCACUGGUGUUAGGAAUAUACAGAAUCUGGAAUGAAGUUGUCUGGCAAAAUUAUACCAGAAGAAAAGAAUCGAUGUUCGAGUGCAUUUCAGGGGUGAAAAAAUGUGAGCUAGAGAAACAUCUGUUCUAUGGCACGUGGGCUGAAAGAAAAAGCUCCAUCUGCAGAAUGAACUUUGACCCCUGCCUCUCAGGAUUAUUCACCCCCAUCUAUGGCCAAGGCAUCUACUUCCACAUGUGUGCACAGCAGGCACACAAAUAUACCCUGCCAGAUAAGGACAAGCUUCGAUACAUGUUUCUGGCCAAAGUCCUGGUGGGCAACUAUAUCUCUGGAGAAGAGCAUUACCGUCACACCAAGAAAUUUCUGCCAGCCCAGGAGACAUAUGAAUCUUGUGUGGACAACACAGAGAGCCCUAAGAUCUUUGUGACAUUCAACAGGAAUCAGUGCUACCCAUACUUCCUGAUCUGUUAUAAGUUGCUCUCUGACCCUGUGGUUCUUGGUAUCUGAAGAAUAGGGACUAUGCGGAAGGAUCUCUGUGAAAGCAUCCUUAUGGCAAUUUUGAUCACCAAGUAAACACUAAACAUGACUUGGAAGGUCUUAGCUGUGGCAAUUAAAAAUGACCUCUGUCUUCUUAGUCUCUUCAGAGCAUUUGUGAGAAACAGCCCAAUAAAACAUCCAGGAGACUAUAGAACUUCAGCAACACAAGAGAAGUCCAUCUCCAUUUCCAGCCUCAAACUACAUUCAUGUGCCUACAUCCCAAACCACAGCCUCUCUAAACCUAAGACCUGCCCUAGUCUUUUCCAUUAUGUAUAAAUGUUUGCCAUAGUUACACAUCAAACAGAAGGAUUGCCCAAAUUUUAUGGGGUUUUAGGAAUCUGCACUGCAGUAGUGAAACCUAAAUGACAUCAAGAAUAUGAAAACAUAAAUAUUCACUAGGACUGAAUUUGCUAGAAGAGGGCAGAGUCUUCUUACCAGGGGUGGGUUCAGAUGACCGAACAAAUAAUGUAUUCUUUGGUUAUAAACACACCUGAGUCUGCAUGCUCCCUCUUCCCUCUCCAUUUGCUUCCUCAGCUUGUAGUUUGUUUAAACCACAGUUCAAUGGCUUAUCAGAACCCAAAGCUGUGCUUUAAUUAUAGAACCAGAUCUCAUGAUCCGUGAGACCCGGUUGGGGGCGGUGAGCGGGGAGGGAGCCCUGGGUGGCCGGAUCGGCCGCCCACACAAUUACCGGCUCCGUGACAGAGCUGGCGGGGGCUGGGGAGCUCGGGGGCUGCGCGGCCCCCUGAAGCCCAGUAUGCCCUGCGCGAUGGAGACUGAACUGAAAAUGUAGAAUCUUUGUUAUCGGACUAGAAGGCUUUCAGACAUCUUAAGCAUGAGAGCUUGAAACUUUUCUAUAAGAGUUGGAAUAAGUGAGUUCAGAUAAUGCUGACAUGUAAUGUUUUUUUGGGGGGUGUUUCUACUUGUACUUUGAUGCAGAAAAUUGAUCAUAGUAUGUGUUUCUAGACUGCCUACACAAACCAGCCACUGUCAACUUACUAGCUGAUGUACUGCACAACAUUAUGCAUACAGUGGAAUAUAACAUUUGCACUGUUGUGUGAGAGUGCUGUUGUGUAAAUGGUGUUGCAUGACAGUGAAGCCAUUAUACAAUAUGCUUUGCAGUUCAUGCAUUACAUAAGCCAUUAUCUCAAAGUUCAGAACUUGACUCUGUACCUCUUUCUUCCAUGCUGCCCUCCACUUUCCAAACUUCCAACAGGUUCUUGUGUAGAGAACAAAGGCAGAGCACAGGAGCAAACUGUGGAUUUUUCAGGACUUAUGCUUGAGGAAUUGAGAAAGAUGAGAGAGAACGUUGACAUGCUUCUCCUCAACCAGCAGAGUCAACUCCAGGUUCUACAAGGAAUUCAGAAGCAGCUUGGUGUCCUUCUACCUGGCAAUGAUCUCCUUAAUUCAAAUGUGUAUAGCUUGGGCCUUCUGCUAAGCCAGCAGUCUGCAACAAUGGGGUUGUCAUCUUUUCCUCUCCUCAGUCCAAGUAACCUUCUUCCAGAAAGUGCAUAUCCUCUUUCCUCUCGGAUUUGAUCUAAGUCAACCUUAUUAGGAAAAGUUCUGAUUUAUCAACCUUAAUUUGCCCCAUGAACUCCUCCUGUAACUUCCUGAUGGGGACUCUACUUCUCUUAAUUUGUAAAAACAUUGUCAUGUGUCUUGGACAAAUAUUACUUUAAAUGCAUGCCUAAAAAUCAAAUACCUCCUUAAAAAUGGGAGAUGUAGCUAGCUAACACAUGCUUUAGUGCUUAGUUACUUCUCUCACUUGUAAGCUAUAUCUGUAACAUAUAGUGGUAAUGUGAGUCAUACUCAAGACUGCAUAAACCUGUGACUUAAAGCUUGCAGGAACCACUUCUUUACAUAAUUAUGAUCUGUCUUGCUAAGUUCCUCAAAUUUAAAAGCCUUCUGUACCAUUGUAGAACAGAGUGCUCGCUUCGGCAGCACAUAUACUAAAUUGUAGAACAGACUACUUUUAAAUUAUCCAUAUUAGACUGACAAAUGACCAGAUUAUCACAGAGGAUGGAAAGGAACAAGCAGGAAGGCAGCAACAUUAAGGAUGAUUGCAGGAAGUAGUAUAGUAUAAACUAGAAAAUAGCUGUGUUCAGGUGAUAACCUGGUAUCUUAGGUGUGUUCCUUCUAUGUUUCACGCCUUAUAGUAUGUGGGUUUAGAGUACUACACUAUAUCAGUGAGUAUUCAGGGCAGGCCCCUGUUAAAAAUAUCAGUAGCCACAAAGGUACGGAAUCCUGUCUACAGUGUAGCAUGCUACAGCCUUUCUCUUCUAGAACUCAAAAUGUGGUUUUUAAUUCUAUUUUGUUUUAAGGGCUUUCUUUUAUGUUGUACCUCCAAUCUUUUUUGUAAUAAAGUUUAUUGAAUGC